UGGCGGUGAGAAGUAUUUCACCGCAGGACACAAUUCGAAUGGUGUUAGAAAAUCCUGAUUCCGACGACGACGACCUUUGUUCGGACGCUUCUUUGGAGAGCCCAGAAGACAUUGAACAAAUUCUUCCGGACUUUCGAUGCCGGAGGAGGACGGCUUUGAUGACGAGGAUUAGGAAAUAGUUGACAACAUAACGAGAUGAAAGCGGGGAGCAGAAGGCGGGGGCACGGACAUGACCACGUUGAGGCGCAUGACGAAAAUGACGGCGAUCGAGGCCUGAGGCACAUACUCCUGCCGCCGGCGCGCACUCAGGUGGCCAAUGUGUGUUUUUUCACAUGCCGGACAUUUCGUCAUGCAGCGCGUUUGUGCUGUUCACGGAGAUCUACCCUCGUUUGUGCUGUUCACGGAGAUCUACCCUGAGUGGAACGUGAAGAAAAGCUACAAGCGCCGACUAUUUCUUGAGGAACUUGGCAAGGCUCUAAUUCGGCCAGAAGUUCUAAAACGGGAACCACCGCCUUCUGCCGAAGGCUUGGUUGAGCAGCGAGCUGGACCCCCGUCCAAGCGCAAACAAUGUGGCCUUUGCACAAAGCCACUUCGGGCUUCGAACAUAAUAAUAAAUAAUAAUACAUUUUAUUUAUAACGCACUUUACAUUUGAACAACAAAUCUCAAAGUGCACAUCAUGAAUUGUGUAUGUUGUUAUUAUGUUAACUGUUAUAUUGUAUGUAUGUUUUGUAAAAUUGUUAACAUAAAUUCUAUCAUCAAAUCA
Corythoichthys intestinalis (scribbled pipefish) is the source of this 764-nucleotide long non-coding RNA. RefSeq lists it as uncharacterized. The transcript is spliced from 2 exons. Lineage: Eukaryota; Metazoa; Chordata; Actinopteri; Syngnathiformes; Syngnathidae. The record is from RefSeq and is a predicted model, not a curated record.